RNAcentral lists this ribosomal RNA (253 nucleotides) under uncultured bacterium. RNAcentral describes it as "partial 16S ribosomal RNA". It matches the Rfam family "Bacterial small subunit ribosomal RNA", at positions 524 to 776 of the family's 1533-position model. The record is from RNAcentral.
GACGGAGGGUGCAAGCGUUGCUCGGAAUCACUGGGCGUAAAGGGUGCGUAGGCGGUCUCGCAAGUCUGGCGUGAAAGCCCAAGGCUCAGCCUUGGAAGUGCGCUCGAAACGGCGAGGCUGGAGUGCCGGAGGGGAGAGUGGAAUUCCCGGUGUAGCGGUGAAAUGCGCAGAUAUCGGGAAGAACACCCGUGGCGAAGGCGGUUCUCUGGGACGGUACUGACGCUGAGACGCGAAAGCGUGGGGAGCGAACAGG